CUUACCCACACCCCCUACCCUCUCUCCACUCCCCCAACUAUAAAUUCCCUUCUGUAGCAUGCUGCCCUUUUUGUAAUCCACAUUUGUGUUUCAGAUCAUGUAGAAAGGACAGAAAGUGAGCAGGGAGCGGGGGCUUUUGUCUAUUGUUCUCCUUGUGCUACUUGAGAGGAACUGCAAUCCCAAGACUUAACAGAACCUAAAAAUGCCCAUUACUAGAUGCACACUGGACAAAAGCAUCUCUUGGUCUGGCAUGAGAAAACUCAGACCUGGUUGAUUAUUACCAAGCCUGGUACUGGAACUGGAAUUGGAGUCUCCUUUAUGAGAUGGGGAAAGGAGGACACUUAAUAGUUCUAGAACAACUUUAUAAACAUAAUUCAGCUGGCUUCAUUGACUGGGGCAGGAUAUUUUAAUAAAAAUAGUUUUAUCGAUUUGUAUUUUGGUUUUAUUAUAUUUGGUUUUAUAUAUAUUAUUAUAAAUAUUUAUUCAUCUCAUUAAACC
Vidua chalybeata is the source of this 498-nucleotide long non-coding RNA. RefSeq lists it as uncharacterized. The transcript is spliced from 4 exons. NCBI's taxonomy places the organism in Eukaryota, Metazoa, Chordata, Aves, Passeriformes, Viduidae. The record is from RefSeq and is a predicted model, not a curated record.